RNAcentral lists this small RNA (148 nucleotides) under Macaca fascicularis (crab-eating macaque). RNAcentral's name for it is "Metazoan signal recognition particle RNA (ENSMFAG00000056752.1)". The record is from Rfam by way of RNAcentral. Lineage: Eukaryota; Metazoa; Chordata; Mammalia; Primates; Cercopithecidae.
GCUGGGCAUGGUGGCGCAUGCCUGUAGUCCCAGCUACUUGGGAGGCUGAGGCAGGAGAAUCGCUUGAACCCAGGAGGCAGAGGUUGCAGUGAGCUUAAAUGGCACCACUGCACUCCAGCCUGGGUGACAGAGUGAGACUCCAUCUCAA